CGUAUAUUAAAGUUGUUGCGGUUAAAAAGUUCGUAGUUGGAUUUCUGUCGGGGACCUCCGGUCCGCACUAUGUGCGUGUAUCUGUAGGGCUCUGGCAUCCUUCCGAAAGACGUUGCUAUGCUUAAUUGCACGGUGCGGAGUUCGGAACUUUUACUUUGAGGAAAUUAGAGUGUUCACGGCAGGCCAAUGCCAUGAAUAUAUUAGCAUGGAAUAAUAAUAUAGGAUUUCGGUUCUAUUUUGUUGGUUUCUAGGGCUGAAAUAAUGAUUAAUAGGGACAAUUGGGGGCAUUCGUAUUAACACGUCAGAGGUGGAAUUCUUAGAUUGUGUUACGACGAACUACUGCGAAAGCAUUUGCCAAGGAUGUUUUCAUUGAUCAAGAGCGAAAGUAAGGGGAUCGAAGACGAUUAGAUACCGUCGUAGUCUUUACCAUAAACUAUGCCAACUAGAGAUGGGGCGUCGUUAUUUUUUGACUCGCUCCGCACCUUAUGAGAAAUCAAAGUUUUUGGGUUCCGGGGGGAGUAUGGUCGCAAGGCUGAAACUUAAAGGAAUU
RNAcentral lists this ribosomal RNA (550 nucleotides) under uncultured marine picoplankton. RNAcentral's name for it is "SSU rRNA". It matches the Rfam family "Eukaryotic small subunit ribosomal RNA", at positions 598 to 1154 of the family's 1831-position model. The record is from RNAcentral.